UACGUAGGGGGCAAGCGUUGUCCGGAUUUACUGGGUGUAAAGGGUGCUCAGGUGGUUAUGCAAGUCAGGGGUGAAAUCCUAGGGCUUAACUCUGGAACUGCCUUUGAUACUGCAUAGCUUGUGUACGGAAGAGGCUGAUGGAAUUCCUGGUGUAGCAGUGAAAUGCGUAGAUAUCAGGAAGAACACCAGUGGCGAAGGCGGUCAGCUGGUCCGUUACAGACACUCAAGCACGAAAGCGUGGGGAGCAAACAGG
RNAcentral lists this ribosomal RNA (253 nucleotides) under uncultured bacterium. RNAcentral's name for it is "partial 16S ribosomal RNA". It matches the Rfam family "Bacterial small subunit ribosomal RNA", at positions 524 to 776 of the family's 1533-position model. The record is from RNAcentral.